CCUCCUAGAGCGUUUUACAUUUACUCCUUUAGAAUUUGGCCGUGGAUGCCGUUUUUUUGAGCUUAUCGUUUUCUCGUAAUCAUCAUCGCUAUUUUCUUCAGAAGAUGAAUUUGAACUACUGCUCAUGGGAUCAAAACUUUGAGAAAGCAUUACAGGGGAAGAUUCUCUGUCUCCUCCAUCAUCAUCAGAUCCAGUAGUAACAGACUCACUCAUUUGAAGAAAAAAAGAAAUAAUUUAUAAAUAAAUUAAGAGGUGUAAUUAGAAAUAUUGGAAAGAGUGUAAUGAAUGCACUAUUGGUGUUGUACAAUGGAGGUUGUUCACAACCUGUAGUUGAUAAAAGCACGAACUUGUCUUGUUCAAUAGUGUUAGACAGGAUAAAUGUGUUUGAAAAUCCAAGGAUACGAAAGGAAAUUUAUACUUAACGAAGUUAUUACAUUAAAAUUUUCUUUACCUUGAUUGAAACAAAUAUAUACUAUUUUCUUUUGGGUCCUGCAAGGUGAACAGCUAACUUAUAUUCACUCCGCGAGUUGAGAUUGUAAUUUGACUAUACAAGUAUAGAAUUGUGAGUGAAAGAUUCUUUUGACGCGUAA
Molecule: non-coding RNA, 590 nt
Organism: Schizosaccharomyces pombe (fission yeast)
Lineage: Eukaryota; Fungi; Ascomycota; Schizosaccharomycetes; Schizosaccharomycetales; Schizosaccharomycetaceae
Source: the annotation of a GenBank genome assembly